RNAcentral lists this RNase P RNA (425 nucleotides) under Nocardia huaxiensis. RNAcentral's name for it is "Bacterial RNase P class A". It matches the Rfam family "Bacterial RNase P class A". Rfam says of the family: Ribonuclease P (RNase P) is a ubiquitous endoribonuclease, found in archaea, bacteria and eukarya as well as chloroplasts and mitochondria. Its best characterised activity is the generation of mature 5'-ends of tRNAs by cleaving the 5'-leader elements of precursor-tRNAs. The record is from Rfam by way of RNAcentral. Lineage: Bacteria; Bacillati; Actinomycetota; Actinomycetes; Mycobacteriales; Nocardiaceae.
CGAGUCGGUCGGGCGGUCGCGGCGAAGGGAACGGGCAUGGCAAUGCCGCCGCCCCUCGUCGAGGAAAGUCCGGACUCCACAGAGCAGGGCGGUUGCUAACGGCAACCCGGGGCGACCCGCGGGACAGUGCCACAGAAAACAAACCGCCGGUGGCGGCCUCCUCGGAGGACGACGCCGGUAAGGGUGAAACGGUGCGGUAAGAGCGCACCAGCGCGCCGGGUGACCGGCGCGGCUAGGUAAACCCCGCCCGGAGCAAGGUCGAAGGCCGGACUCGCGAGAGUGCGGCUGCGCAGGCGUUCGAGGGCUGCUCGCCCGAGCCUGCGGGUGGACUGCUCGAGGUACCCGGCAACGGUGUGCCCAGAUGGAUGACCGUCACUCGGUGGCAACACCGAGGACAGGAUCCGGCUUACAGACCGACUCGUCCG